CUUUAGGUCUCCUGAAGGAACGUUGAAGACGACGACGUUGAUAGGCCGGGUGUGUAAGCGCAGCGAUGCGUUGAGCUAACCGGUACUAAUGAACCGUGAGGCUUAACCUUACAACGCCGAAG
This 122-nucleotide ribosomal RNA is filed under the name Salmonella enterica. RNAcentral describes it as "partial 23S ribosomal RNA". It matches the Rfam family "Bacterial large subunit ribosomal RNA", at positions 2813 to 2925 of the family's 2925-position model. Lineage: Bacteria; Pseudomonadati; Pseudomonadota; Gammaproteobacteria; Enterobacterales; Enterobacteriaceae. The record is from RNAcentral. RNAcentral also lists the same sequence under 4 other names.